RNAcentral lists this ribosomal RNA (584 nucleotides) under uncultured bacterium. RNAcentral's name for it is "bacterial SSU rRNA". It matches the Rfam family "Bacterial small subunit ribosomal RNA", at positions 338 to 914 of the family's 1533-position model. The record is from RNAcentral.
CCUACGGGAGGCAGCAGUGGGGAAUAUUGGACAAUGGGGGAAACCCUGAUCCAGCGACGCCGCGUGGGUGAAGAAGGCCUGCGGGUUGUAAAGCCCUUUCGGUAGGGACGAAAGCUCUUGCUCCAACAAAGCAGGAGGUUGACUUAACCUACAUAAGAAGCACCGGCUAACUCUGUGCCAGCAGCCGCGGUAAUACGUAGGUGGCAAGCGUUGUCCGGAAUUAUUGGGCGUAAAGCGCGCGCAGGCGGUUUCUUAAGUCUGAUGUGAAAGCCCCCGGCUCAACCGGGGAGGGUCAUUGGAAACUGGGAAACUUGAGUGCAGAAGAGGAAAGUGGAAUUCCAAGUGUAGCGGUGAAAUGCGUAGAGAUUUGGAGGAACACCAGUGGCGAAGGCGACUUUCUGGUCUGUAACUGACGCUGAGGCGCGAAAGCGUGGGGAGCAAACAGGAUUAGAUACCCUGGUAGUCCACGCUGUAAACGAUGAGUGCUAAGUGUUAGAGGGUUUCCGCCCUUUAGUGCUGAAGUUAACGCAUUAAGCACUCCGCCUGGGGAGUACGGUCGCAAGACUGAAACUUAAAGGAAUGAC